Molecule: long non-coding RNA, 1389 nt
Organism: Coregonus clupeaformis (lake whitefish)
Lineage: Eukaryota; Metazoa; Chordata; Actinopteri; Salmoniformes; Salmonidae
Exons: 3
Source: RefSeq, a predicted model, not a curated record
CUAUCCUCUUUCUCCCGUUGCAUCGCCACCUGUAGCUCCUCAGUUAGCAGGGCACGAACCUGGCUCAUACGAGAGAAUAAGUCAACAGAGAAUCUGCGAUCUGAAUGGUCGUACCAGAUGUCAAUCAAACCAUGCACAGUCCAGCCUGCUCCAAACUUCCUCUCUGCUCAGAAGCACCCAAGGCAUAAUAGGCACAAACAUUCUCUGUGGAGAGAGAAGAAGAGAUUACAUUGAUGUCGACAACGAUGGGUGCAGCCUACCACGGUCUGAAGAAGUUAAUGUUAAGGUUAAGAAGUUAAUGUUAAUGUUAAGAAGCUAAUGUUAAGGAAGUCACACUGCUUGCUUAGCGAGUACCGUUUCCUCCUGAUUCGGCUCAUACCAAGGCUCAAACCCAGCACCUCUGCCUCGCUAACACCCCUGACCACCCUCCAGAAGCAUCUUACCCUGUUGCGCCACCAAAAAGCUAGCUAUUCGGCAGCACCAGUAGAGACAUUUCAGGCUGAGGAGUGAGUUUCACAGAUCGCCAUCUGCUACAUUCACCCCCCAAACCCACUCCACAGCGACCCCAGCAUUGAGCUGAGCACAACUGAUGAUCCGGAACACAGCACCAUUGUAAAAGACGUCAUGCUGCUUGCUUAGCGAUUACCGCUUCCUCCUGAUUCAUUCAUACCGAGGCUCGAACCCAGGACCUCUGCCUCGACACGUAACCGCCCUCCUGAAGCGUCUUAUACAGUUGCGCCACUGAAAAAGUUGCUAUUCAGCAGCGCAAGUGGAGACUCUUCAAGCUGAGGAGUGAGUUUUACAGAUUGCCAUCUGCUACACUAACUUGUUUUUCCAAUUCAUUUCUGCAUGGAUAAAUAGCAAAAUUGCAUGCUCACAUGAAGAUGCAAACUGACAAUAUUGAGGAUAAAGUGUUUGAAACAUUCAAAGAUUCACUGAAGUUUAACUUUGAGUGAAACAAAUGUAUAAAUGACAACCAAUAUUUCCUCCUCAUCAUGCCUUUAAUAAACAUCUCUACUGAUAUGUACAAUGUAUCGUUUGAUUUUCUUAAAAAUUCGAUGAAUCUAUACAAAGGAAAAACAUUUAAUGGUUAUUCAGCUAUGAUACCCAAUAAAACAGAAAAUUAUUAGUUAAAUAACAAACAUCCACACAAUACAAAAUGUACCAACAUAUGAAGAAAUUGGUAUCUUUAAAGAGAGGUUUUCUACAUUAUACAAUUUAACAGGUCUUAAAGAAUAGGACAUAAUAGAAUGGAAGAAAAAAUAGUAGGCUAACUAACGUGUCAUAACUUAAAACCUAAAACUGACCCAUACAGUUGUGGAGGAUGACAGUGUAUUUGGGUUCUGAGACAAACAUUACUGCACUAUAACGUCAUAUAAAACAUAUUUA